GUAGGGGGCAAGCGUUGUCCGGAUUUAUUGGGCGUAAAGCGCGUGUAGGCGGCCAGGUAGGUCCGCUGUGAAAACUCGAGGCUCAACCUCGAGAUGUCGGCGGAAACCAUCUGGCUAGAGUCCGGAAGAGGAGAGUGGAAUUCCCGGUGUAGCGGUGAAAUGCGCAGAUAUCGGGAAGAACACCCGUGGCGAAGGCGGCUCUCUGGGACGGUACUGACGCUGAGACGCGAAAGCGUGGGGAGCGAACAGGAUUAGAUACCCUGGUAGUCCACGCCGUAAACGAUGGGAACUAGGUGUGGGCGGUGUCGACUCCGUCCGUGCCGAAGCUAACGCAUUAAGUUCCCCGCCUGGGGAGUACGGCCGCAAGGCUAAA
Molecule: ribosomal RNA, 373 nt
Filed under: uncultured bacterium
Lineage: Bacteria
Description: bacterial SSU rRNA
Rfam family: Bacterial small subunit ribosomal RNA
Source: RNAcentral